RNAcentral lists this ribosomal RNA (456 nucleotides) under uncultured eukaryote. Its description in RNAcentral is "bacterial SSU rRNA". It matches the Rfam family "Eukaryotic small subunit ribosomal RNA", at positions 350 to 809 of the family's 1831-position model. The record is from RNAcentral.
UAACGACGGGUAACGGGGAAUCAGGGUUCGAUUCCGGAGAGGGAGCCCGAGAAACGGCUACCACUUCCAAGGAAGGCAGCAGGCGCGCAACUUACCCUAAUCUCGAUUCGAGGAGGUAGUGACAAGAAAUACCGAUGCGGGACCCUACGGGUGCCGCGUUCGGAAUGAGUACGAUUCGAACCACCUAACGAGGAACGAUCGGAGGGCAAGUCUGGUGCCAGCAGCCGCGGUAAUUCCAGCUCCAAUAGCGUACGUUAAAGUUGCUGCAGUUAAAAAGCUCGUAGUUGAACGUUCGGGUUCCGCGGGACGGGGCCGCCCCGCGAGGGACGGCGCCGCCCCGGGCUCGUGAUAUCUCAUCUCGCCGCCCGUCGCGAGGCGGACGGAGGGAUGGAUGAGGUUACCUGGAAAAAAUCGGGCGAUCUAGCGGGCGAACCGUCGCCAACGAACGAUCGGACA